This is a non-coding RNA of Rhodocollybia butyracea, 99 nucleotides long. NCBI's taxonomy places the organism in Eukaryota, Fungi, Basidiomycota, Agaricomycetes, Agaricales, Omphalotaceae. The record is from the annotation of a GenBank genome assembly.
UCCUUCUUAGCUCAGUUGGUAGAGCGCGUCACUAGUAUAUAGCUAUGGGAAGUCUGAAUCAUAAUGACGAGGUCAGUCGUUCAAGUCGGCUAGAAGGAA